Molecule: non-coding RNA, 72 nt
Filed under: uncultured Ruminococcus sp.
Lineage: Bacteria; Bacillati; Bacillota; Clostridia; Eubacteriales; Oscillospiraceae
Description: ZMP/ZTP riboswitch
Rfam family: ZMP/ZTP riboswitch aptamer (pfl RNA motif)
About the family: Previously known as pfl RNA.
Source: RNAcentral
UGUUAUAUGACUGACGGAACAGUGGAAUUAACCACAGUGAAGUAUAACGAUUCAAAGCCGACCGUCUGGGCG